RNAcentral lists this ribosomal RNA (400 nucleotides) under uncultured bacterium. RNAcentral's name for it is "bacterial SSU rRNA". It matches the Rfam family "Bacterial small subunit ribosomal RNA", at positions 355 to 748 of the family's 1533-position model. The record is from RNAcentral.
UAGGGAAUUUUCGUCAAUGGGGGGAACCCUGAACGAGCAAUGCCGCGUGAGUGAAGAAGGUCUUCGGAUCGUAAAGCUCUGUUGUAAGAGAAAAACGGAUCAUGUAGGGAAUGACAUGAUAGUGAUGGUAUCUUACCAGAAAGCCACGGCUAACUACGUGCCAGCAGCCGCGGUAAUACGUAGGUGGCAAGCGUUAUCCGGAAUGAUUGGGCGUAAAGGGUGCGUAGGUGGUACAUUAAGUCUGAAGUAAAAGGCAGCAGCUCAACUGCUGUUCGCUUUGGAAACUGGUGAACUAGAGUGCAGGAGAGGGCGAUGGAAUUCCAUGUGUAGCGGUAAAAUGCGUAGAUAUAUGGAGGAACACCAGUGGCGAAGGCGGUCGCCUGGCCUGUAACUGACACUG